RNAcentral lists this small nuclear RNA (127 nucleotides) under Chinchilla lanigera (long-tailed chinchilla). RNAcentral describes it as "U4 spliceosomal RNA (ENSCLAG00000020550.1)". Lineage: Eukaryota; Metazoa; Chordata; Mammalia; Rodentia; Chinchillidae. The record is from RNAcentral.
AGCUUUAUGCAGUGGCAGUAUUAUAGCCAAUGAGGUUUAUCUGAGAUGUGAUUAUUGCUCAUAAAAUGAGUGAGAGAAUCCCAGUACAGUAGUUUAUGUCUGUAAUCCCAGCUACUCAGGGAGCUGA